UUAGCCAAAGACAUGAAUUUGCCUUUUGCCAGAAGCCUAGAAGACCUAAAUAUUAGAGCACCUGCGAAAGAGCCCCCUUUUUAAAAAUAAUCUCUUGGCUUUCUGGGGGAAGCCACUCCUGUGCCGAGGGACAGAACUGCCACGUCAGCAAAAUCUUCAGAGAUGACUAUUCAGAGAUAUGUCUCAGGAAGGCUAUGGAACUAGAUCUCAACCUCCUCUGGCCCCUGGAAAACCCAACCAUGAAGACUUGAACUUAAUACAACAAGAAAGACCAUCAAGUUUACCAGAUGAAAAAGUCAAUAGACUACUCAUUAACAACAACAGGAACAAACUCAUUUAAAGGAAAUCAGAAAAUACUAUCAAUGGUUUAUUUAUUGCAAGAGGAAGGAGAUUUCUGAUUAAUGAGUUCAAGGAUUUUUAGGCUCAUAUGCCACCUCAGUACGGACAGCAGGGUGUGAGUGGUUACUGCCACCAAGGCCAACAGCCAUAUUACAACCAGCAGCCGCAGCCCCCACACCUUCCACCCCAGGCACAGUACCUGCCAUCCCAGUCCCAGCAGAGGUACCAGCCACAGCAGGUAAGAAUAGCCCACUACUCUGCAGACCUUGUUUUCUCCUCCAGGUCUGUGUUCAGAGGCAGAUGAUGCUCCCUACAUCUUUCUGUCCCCUUUGAAUGAUCAUGUUCUCAGUGGAAAACAAAUAGAUACAAAACUAUACCCUAAUCUAACCCUUCCUCCCUCUUUCCCUUCCUUGCUCCCUCCCUCCAUUGUUUUUUGCGUGCUUUAGAUCGAAAGGGUAGGAAGAAUGACUAGUUUAAUAGCUGCCUGCAUUACUGGCUAGUGAUAGCAGAAAGUGUCACUCAUUUCGUCAUCUUUGUCAUUUGUAUCUUAAUCUUUCAUGAAAACCCUCUGCCACUUUGUUAAGGCUUAUUCAGAAGAAUGCUUUUACCCAUCAUUUAAUCCUUCUAGUUGGCACAUACAUGAUAUUUUUUAUCUUGACCUUUUGUUUUGUUUUAAUGGUGAGUGACAUUGCAUGAAAACAUUGCUGCCUUUUGACAGUGUUACUUUCUUUAAAUUAUAAACAGACAAUUGCUUCAAUUAUAAUAUACUAAAAUAAAAAUGGGAAUUGUCUGGUGUAGGUAUAUUGAGCAACUUCUCUGUUUUUGUUUUUUUCUUCUUUUUUCAUCUGAGACAGGGUCUUGCUAUGUAUCCUAGACUGGUCUUGAACUCUUAAUCUUCCUGCCUCAUCCUCCAGAGUCCUGGGAUUACAGACAUAUACUAUCACGCCCAGCUAGUUUCUAGUUUAAAUUGGCCUCAUUAAAUACUCUUUUAUGUUAUUGGGCUGUAUUUUUCAGCUUAUAUGAGUAAGAAAAGUAGUACAUAGUAUAUAUGUAUAUAUUUGACAAAAUGAGUUGGUUUCAUUUUGUUUUAGCCACUGUCAUUGAGUGAAGAGUAGUGAGUGAGGGAUAAGCACUUCCAAUCACGAGCAUCAAGAGGCAACUUUCCAUGUUGAUCUUUUCCUCCAUUCUUUCUCUUUUGUUGGGAUGGGAGUAGUGAAGAGAAGAGGAAUACAGGUAAUGUGGACUUUAUCGUUUUUUGAGGGCUUCUUACAUGGUUUAAACAGAUUAUUGACCCAAAGCCAAAUAUAUAAAUAGUUGAGGGCUAAAGAUAUUACUGAAGUGGUAGUAUGUUUGCCUACCAUGCGAGUUCAAACCCCACUACUACAAACAAGCAAAACAAAAAGCCAAACAAAUAUAUUGAGAUUAAUUUUAAUCAAUUUAGUGAAUUUCCUAAGUAUUUUCUUGGGUUUGUUGGAGUCUGUUCCCAUGUGACUUUGGUUACAGAGUUCUAAAGAGAAUUUGACAUUAAACGUUAAAACUACAGUAGAAAUUCAGGAUUGUGUACAGUGUUGCAUGUAUGUUUUCAAAAUUUUGUUACUGUAUCUAGAAGUAGGUAUGUACAUUAUUUCAGAGUUAUCUUGUCUAGCUUUUAAUAAAGGUAUGAACAUCUUAAUGUAAUUCAGUCAGUUCUUUUUAGUGAGAGAGACUGGUACUUACUCAGGUUUUGAUAGAUAAUGUUGUAGGCUUUUUCAAGGGGCUUUCAGAGUCUGUUGAACUUCUGUGGCUAUAGAAUGUUUUGCCUUGUUAUCAGAAUUUAAGAACUCAUUGAGAAUCAGGCAUUGGUGGCUCACACCUGUAAUCCUUGCUACUCAGGAGGUAGAGAUCAGGA
This is a non-coding RNA of Castor canadensis (American beaver), 2227 nucleotides long. NCBI's taxonomy places the organism in Eukaryota, Metazoa, Chordata, Mammalia, Rodentia, Castoridae. The record is from RefSeq and is a predicted model, not a curated record.